Molecule: unclassified non-coding RNA, 6656 nt
Filed under: Camponotus floridanus (Florida carpenter ant)
Lineage: Eukaryota; Metazoa; Arthropoda; Insecta; Hymenoptera; Formicidae
Description: myosin heavy chain, non-muscle, transcript variant X6
Source: RNAcentral
CAUCCGGUGGGACUCGGCGGAGGAAGGACGCGGGUCGGCCGCAGGUGCUCGACGACGGUCAGUGACAGUUGCGAUCGGCGCGUUCGAGGUGUACGUAAAGAGGGACCGAAGGAGAAUCAGGAGGAGGAGAGAGAGAGAGAGAGAGAGAGAGAGACGGAAGGCAACUCGACUCUGGGCGGACGAGAAAGACGAGAAAGACGCGGAGACUUCCUCCCUUACCCCCUCCCCCUCACUCUCGUCUCUCUUCCCGAGGAAGGCGAGAAGCUCCGGGCUAACCGGCUCGCUCGCUCGCGAGGAGGGCGAGUCCGUCCUUCGUCGUCGCGGCAGUGGCAGUGGUAGUGGUGGUGGUGGUGCUGGUGGUGGUGGGACUCGCGCGCUCGUCGUCGGUUGCGCAUCGUGGCGACAACUAGUAGCGGCAGCCGCCGUCGUCGUCGUCGUCGUCGUCGUCGUUGGACUCGGUCAGACUCUGCCCCGAGUCGAUCGUCCCGAGUACGCGAGUAGAGUCAUCGGCGAGUACAGAGCACGUGGGAUAGAGAAAGAGAUAGAGACCGAGGAGCCAGGCAUCAUCAUCAUCCAUCAGCAGCAGCAGCAGCAGCUUUGCCGCUCGCUAAACAAAGAUGGCGGACGUGGACUCUCGGGUAGACCGGUCCGAUCCGGAGCUGCGCUUCCUGUCGGUGGACAGGAACAACUUCAACGACCCGGCCACCCAGGCGGAAUGGACGCAGAAGAAGCUGGUGUGGGUGCCGCACGAGACCCAGGGCUUCGUCGCCGCCGGGAUCAAGGGCGAGCGCGGCGACGAGGUCGAGGUGGAGAUCGCCGAGACCGGCAAGCGCGUGCUCGUCGCCAAGGACGACAUACAGAAGAUGAACCCGCCCAAGUUCGACAAGGUCGAGGACAUGGCGGAGCUUACCUGCCUCAACGAGGCCUCCGUCCUGCAUAACCUCAAGGACCGAUACUACUCCGGCCUGAUCUACACAUACUCUGGCCUCUUCUGCGUCGUGGUAAACCCCUACAAGAGACUGCCGAUAUACACAGAAAAGAUCAUGGAAAGGUACAAAGGCAUCAAGAGACACGAGGUGCCGCCGCACGUCUUUGCCAUUACUGAUACGGCUUAUCGUUCCAUGUUGCAAGAUCGGGAGGACCAGUCGAUUUUGUGUACCGGCGAGUCUGGCGCCGGGAAGACCGAAAACACGAAAAAAGUGAUUCAAUAUUUGGCUUAUGUAGCCGCGUCGAAACCCAAGUCUAACGCGACUCCGAGCCCGGCAUUAAUCAUAGGAUCUGGGAGUGUCACGGAAAAGUUUGCGGGCGAGCUGGAGCAACAGCUUCUUCAGGCAAAUCCAAUUUUAGAGGCGUUCGGCAAUGCAAAGACCGUGAAGAACGAUAACUCGUCUCGUUUCGGUAAAUUUAUUAGAAUAAACUUUGACGCCUCCGGUUAUAUAGCCGGUGCAAACAUCGAGACAUAUCUUUUGGAAAAAUCGAGGGCCAUUCGACAAGCGAAAGACGAAAGAACUUUCCACAUAUUUUAUCAACUGUUGGCGGGUGCCUCGCCGGAACAGAAAAAGGAAUUUAUAUUGGAGGAUCCGAAGCACUACCCCUUCCUGUCGAAUGGAGCCCUCCCGGUGCCAGGGGUCGACGAUUCCGCCGAGUUCUUCUCCACAGUAAAGUCGAUGCACAUCAUGGGCAUGACCAACGAGGACUUCUCCUCCAUCUUCCGUAUCGUUUCCGCCGUGAUGUUGUUUGGCUCGAUGCAGUUUCGUCAGGAACGGAAUUCCGAUCAGGCGACGUUGCCCGACAACACGGUGGCACAGAAAAUCUCGCAUUUGUUGGGCUUGAGCGUUACCGAGAUGACGAAGGCCUUCCUGAAGCCGCGCAUCAAGGUUGGCCGUGAUUUUGUGACGAAGGCGCAGACAAAGGAGCAGGUGGAAUUUGCUGUAGAAGCGAUCUCGAAGGCCUGCUACGAGAGGAUGUUCCGUUGGCUGGUGAACAGGAUCAACAGAUCUCUGGAUAGGACGAAGCGACAGGGUGCCAGUUUUAUUGGGAUACUGGAUAUGGCCGGCUUCGAGAUAUUCGAGUUGAACUCCUUCGAGCAGUUGUGCAUCAAUUACACGAAUGAGAAGCUGCAACAGUUGUUCAAUCACACAAUGUUCAUUCUGGAGCAGGAGGAGUAUCAGCGCGAGGGGAUCGAGUGGAAGUUUAUAGAUUUCGGAUUGGAUCUGCAGCCAACGAUCGAUCUGAUCGAUAAACCGAUGGGUAUCAUGGCGCUUUUGGACGAGGAAUGCUGGUUCCCGAAAGCCACGGACAAGACAUUUGUGGAAAAGCUGGUUGGCGCUCAUAGUGUCCAUCCAAAGUUCAUGAAGACUGAUUUCCGCGGCGUGGCCGACUUCGCGAUCAUUCAUUACGCCGGCAAGGUGGACUAUUCCGCCGCCAAGUGGCUGAUGAAAAACAUGGACCCGUUGAACGAGAACGUUGUCAGUCUUUUACAAGCCUCGCAGGAUCCGUUUGUGUGUCACAUUUGGAAGGACGCCGAGAUCGUGGGUAUGGCACAGCAGGCACUCACGGACACGCAGUUUGGCGCGAGAACGAGAAAGGGCAUGUUUAGAACAGUCUCGCAAUUGUAUAAAGAACAGUUGGCCAAGCUGAUGGUGACACUGCGAAAUACGAAUCCGAACUUUGUUAGGUGUAUAAUUCCGAAUCACGAGAAGAGAGCCGGUAAAAUUGAUGCGCCGCUCGUGCUAGAUCAACUACGGUGCAAUGGAGUGUUGGAGGGUAUCCGCAUCUGCCGGCAAGGUUUUCCCAACAGAAUUCCGUUCCAAGAAUUUAGACAACGCUACGAACUACUCACUCCGAAUGCUAUUCCCAAAGGAUUCAUGGAUGGGAAGAAAGCUUGCGAAAAGAUGAUUCAAGCAUUGGAGUUGGAUCCAAACCUUUAUCGUGUUGGACAAUCGAAAAUCUUUUUCCGCGCCGGAGUGUUGGCACACUUGGAGGAAGAAAGAGACUACAAGAUCACGGAUAUAAUCGUCAAUUUCCAAGCUUUCUGUCGCGGUUUCUUGGCUCGGCGUAAUUAUCAGAAACGUCUGCAGCAGCUUAACGCAAUUCGCAUUAUUCAGAGAAACUGCGCGGCCUACUUAAAACUACGCAAUUGGCAAUGGUGGCGGCUGUAUACCAAGGUGAAGCCGCUAUUGGAGGUCACUAAGCAAGAGGAGAAGCUUACGCAAAAGGAGGAUGAGCUGAAGCAAGUUCGCGAUAAGCUGGAGUUACAGCUGCACUCGGCUCAAGAGUAUGAACGUAAAUAUCAGCAGGCGAUUGAAGAGAAAACUAUGCUGGCUGAGCAACUGCAGGCGGAAGUCGAGCUCUGUGCGGAAGCUGAAGAAAUGAGGGCUCGACUGGCCGCAAGGAAGCAGGAACUUGAGGAAAUUUUGCACGAUUUGGAAGCGCGUAUCGAGGAGGAAGAGGAGAGAAGCGCCGCGUUGACUCAGGAGAAGAAAAAGCUGCAGUUGAAUAUCAGCGACUUGGAGGAGCAGCUGGAGGAAGAGGAGGCUGCCAGACAAAAAUUGCAAUUGGAGAAGGUCCAAUGCGAUGCGAAGAUUAAGAAAUUGGAGGAAGAUCUCGCCCUGUCGGAUGACACCAAUCAGAAGUUGUUAAAGGAGAAGAAAAUUCUCGAGGAGCGCGCCAAUGAUCUCUCGCAGACUCUGGCAGAAGAGGAGGAGAAAGCGAAGCAUCUGUCCAAACUGAAAGCCAAACACGAGGCGACAAUCGCCGAUCUCGAGGAGAGGCUUCUCAAGGAUCAUCAGCAACGUCAAGAGGUGGAUAGAUCCAAGAGGAAGGUCGAAACUGAGGUCUCCGAUCUGAAGGAGCAACUGGCCGAGAGGAAAUCGCAUGUGGAGGAACUACAGCUUCAACUUGGCAAACGCGAGGAGGAGCUCAAUCAAGUCAUGGCGAAGAUGGACGAGGAAGGCGCUUCCAAGGCGCAAGCUCAGAAGGCUCUCAGGGAAUUGGAAUCACAGUUAGCCGAGCUUCAGGAAGAUUUGGAAGCCGAGAAAGCCGCUAGGGGCAAGGCCGAGAAGCAGAAGCGCGAUUUGAACGAAGAACUCGAAGCGUUGAAGAAUGAAUUGCUCGAUUCUCUGGAUACUACUGCGGCUCAACAGGAGUUGAGAAGCAAACGGGAGCAAGAACUUGCGACGUUGAAGAAGAAUCUGGAGGAGGAGACUUCGUCGCACGAAGGUACGCUUGCCGACAUGCGUCACAAGCAUACGCAAGAGUUGACCGUUCUGAACGAACAGAUGGACGCGCUGAAGAAGACCAAGGCAGCCUUGGAGAAAGCGAAAGGCUCCUUGGAAGCGGAGAACGCUGAUCUGGCGACGGAAUUAAGAUCGGUCAGCGCGAGCAGACAAGAGUCCGAUCGACGUCGCAAACAAGCGGAGCAACAACUGGCGGAAAUCAAUGCAAAGCUGGCCGAGGUGGAGAGAAACAAGCAAGAAUUUUCCGAGAAGGUGACCAAGUUGCAACAAGAGGCGGAGAGCGUGAUGCAACAACUGGAGACCGCCGAACUGAAAGCAUCCGCGGCAUUAAAAGCCUCGACCACCUGCGAGUCGCAAUUUACCGAACUUCAACAACAAUUGGAGGAAGAAACCCGGCAGAAACUGGCUCUCAGCUCGAAGCUGCGCGCGUUGGAAGGCGAGAAGGAGAGCCUGCACGAUCAGCUUGAAGAGGAGGAGGAAGCAAAACGUGCCUUGGAUAAGCAGGUGCUGAGUUUGAAUAUACAACUCGCCGAGGCCAAGAAACGCGCCGACGAGGAAGCGGAGGCGGCCGCUGCCCUCGAGGAGGCCAGAAAGCGUUGCACGAAGGACAUCGAAGCUCUUCAGCGGCAGGUCGAGGAAUUGCAGGCGGCCAAUGACAAGCUGGACAAAUCGAAGAAGAAGAUUCAAGCGGAACUGGAGGACAGCAUCAUCGAGCUGGAGGCGCAGCGAGCGAAGGUACUCGAGCUGGAGAAGAAGCAAAAGAAUUUCGACAAGGUGCUCGCCGAAGAGAAGGCCGUGUCCGAACAAUACGCGGAGCAGAGGGACAUCGCGGAAAGGGAAGCUCGUGAAAAGGAGACGAGAGUGCUGUCGUUGACCCGGGAAUUGGAUGAACUUAACGAGAAGGUCGAGGAAUUGGAACGAGGCCGUCGAGGUCUGCAGUCGGAGUUGGACGAGUUGGUAAAUAAUCAGGGUACGGCUGACAAAAAUGUCCACGAAUUAGAGAAGGCGAAACGAUCGUUGGAGUCGCAGCUGCAAGAGCAAAAAUCGCAGGUGGAAGAGUUGGAGGACGAGCUGCAAUUCACCGAAGACGCGAAGCUGCGAUUGGAGGUGAACAUGCAGGCGUUGCGAGCGCAGUUCGAGCGCGAUCUCCAGACUAAGGAGGAGCAGGCGGAGGAGAAACGUCGAGGAUUGGUGAAGCAGCUGCGUGAUCUCGAGGCGGAGCUCGAGGACGAGAGGAAGCAACGUGCCGCGGCUAUUGCGGCGCGUAAGAAGAUGGAAGCGGAUUACAAGGACAUCGAGCAGCAGCUGGAGAUGCAUAAUAAGGUGAAGGAGGACGCGCUGAAGCAGCUGAAGAAGCUUCAGACUCAGAUCAAGGAUUGCACCAGAGAGACGGAAGAGGCCAGGGCCGCCAGGGACGAGUUGGCGGCCGCUUCUAAGGAAACCGAGAGGAAGGUUAAGAGCCUGGAAGCUGACUUGUUGCAAUUGACCGAGGACUUCGCCUGCAGCGAACGCGCCAGGAGAACCGCCGAGAACGAGAGGGACGAGUUGCAGGAGGAGGUCAACAACAAUGCCAACAAGGGUACUCUGAUGUUGGACGAGAAGCGUAGACUGGAGGCGAGGAUUGCCACACUGGAGGAGGAGUUGGAGGAGGAGCAGUCGAACGCCGAGAUUGUUAUGGAUCGCGCCAGGAAGGGCCAGAUUACGAUCGAACAGCUGACAACGGACUUGGCGACCGAGCGAUCCACCACGCAAAAGUUGGAAUCGCACAAGAUGCUGUUGGAGAGGCAAAACAAGGACCUCAAGGUGAAGCUGACCGAGCUGGAGACUGCGCAACGUGCCAAGACCAAGGCCACGAUACAGCAGCUGGAAUCGAAGAUCAACAAUCUCGAUGAACAACUCGAGACCGAGGCCAAGGAGAGAUUUGCCCAGCAAAAGAUCAAUCGCAAGUUGGAGAAGAAAUUGAAAGAAUUGAGUCUGCAGCUUGAGGAUGAGAGACGAAAUUCCGAUCAGUAUAAAGAGCAAGCGGAGAAGGUCAAUAUCAGAAUGAAGGCGUUGAAGAGACAAUUGGACGAGGCGGAAGAGGAGAUUAGCAGGCAUAAGACCCUGAAGCGGAAAAAUCAAAGGGAAAUGGACGACCUGAUAGAAAUGAACGAGGAGCUCAAUCGUGAAUUGACGCAGUACAAGAAUAAAUACAGGUGUCAAGAGAGAAAAAACGAUUGGUAUCCUACCUGAGAGAGUUUUUUGCUAGGAAACAAUCCCAUUAGUCUCCCCAGUGUGCUACAGCGCGGCGGUGGUCCUCCGAUAAGCCUGAGCUCCACGAGGCUGAAACGCGGUUCCGUGCAGACCGGCGGCUCGGGCGACGACUCGACGACGCAGGACGAGAGCAUCGACGGCGAGGAGAAUGUUAAUUGAGUAUCG